GUGGGGAAUUUUGGACAAUGGGCGCAAGCCUGAUCCAGCAAUGCCGCGUGUGUGAAGAAGGCCUUCGGGUUGUAAAGCACUUUUGUCCGGAAAGAAAUCUCCUGGGUUAAUACCUCGGGGGGAUGACGGUACCGGAAGAAUAAGCACCGGCUAACUACGUGCCAGCAGCCGCGGUAAUACGUAGGGUGCGAGCGUUAAUCGGAAUUACUGGGCGUAAAGCGUGCGCAGGCGGCUAUGCAAGACAGAUGUGAAAUCCCCGGGCUCAACCUGGGAACUGCAUUUGUGACUGCAUGGCUAGAGUGCGUCAGAGGGAGGUGGAAUUCCGCGUGUAGCAGUGAAAUGCGUAGAGAUGCGGAGGAACACCGAUGGCGAAGGCAGCCUCCUGGGAUAACACUGACGCUCAGGCACGAAAGCGUGGGGAGCAAACAGGAUUAGAAACCCGUGUAGUCC
Molecule: ribosomal RNA, 450 nt
Filed under: uncultured bacterium
Lineage: Bacteria
Description: partial 16S ribosomal RNA
Rfam family: Bacterial small subunit ribosomal RNA
Source: RNAcentral